This 484-nucleotide ribosomal RNA is filed under the name uncultured bacterium. Its description in RNAcentral is "partial 16S ribosomal RNA". It matches the Rfam family "Bacterial small subunit ribosomal RNA", at positions 30 to 507 of the family's 1533-position model. The record is from RNAcentral.
AUUGAACGCUGGCGGCGGGCCUAACACAUGCAAGUCGAGCGGAUGAAGGGAGCUUGCUCCUGGAUUCAGCGGCGGACGGGUGAGUAAUGCCUGGGAAUCUGCCUGGUAGUGGGGGAUAACGUCCGGAAACGGGCGCUAAUACCGCAUACGUCCUGAGGGAGAAAGUGGGGGAUCUUCGGACCUCACGCUAUCAGAUGAGCCUAGGUCGGAUUAGCUAGUUGGUGGGGUAAAGGCCUACCAAGGCGACGAUCCGUAACUGGUCUGAGAGGAUGAUCAGUCACACUGGAACUGAGACACGGUCCAGACUCCUACGGGAGGCAGCAGUGGGGAAUAUUGGACAAUGGGCGAAAGCCUGAUCCAGCCAUGCCGCGUGUGUGAAGAAGGUCUUCGGAUUGUAAAGCACUUUAAGUUGGGAGGAAGGGCAGUAAGUUAAUACCUUGCUGUUUUGACGUUACCAACAGAAUAAGCACCGGCUAACUUCGUG